AAAAAUUCCAAAAACAAGUCUUCCAUAGACAUGCCUGAAUUUGACAGUGUUUUGCUGGAUGACCAGCGGGGGUUAUAGAGCACAAUACCAGCCAAGGACCUGGAAUAUGGAUAUCUUGAACAAGACCCACAAGGCAUAUCCGCUCAUUUAGUCCGAGUUGGAGCCCAUCAAAAACAGGAGAUGAUCUGAACUUCGGCGAGUCCCGCGCUUCCUGCAGGACCGUUCCUGCUUCUCUGCCGGGGACCGGGCACGAAACUCGUGCAACGAGGACAAAACGGCAUGGAGAAAACUGAGGCUUCAUCCCACUCUGUAUCCUAAGUGCUAAAGAGCCCGU
Molecule: long non-coding RNA, 334 nt
Organism: Ornithorhynchus anatinus (platypus)
Lineage: Eukaryota; Metazoa; Chordata; Mammalia; Monotremata; Ornithorhynchidae
Exons: 3
Source: RefSeq, a predicted model, not a curated record